This 378-nucleotide ribosomal RNA is filed under the name uncultured Gemmatimonadota bacterium. Its description in RNAcentral is "bacterial SSU rRNA". It matches the Rfam family "Bacterial small subunit ribosomal RNA", at positions 521 to 896 of the family's 1533-position model. The record is from RNAcentral. Lineage: Bacteria; Pseudomonadati; Gemmatimonadota.
UAAGACGGAGGGCGCAAGCGUUGUUCGGAAUUACUGGGCGUAAAGGGCGGGCAGGCGGCCUGUUAAGUCGUGUGUGAAAAUCCGGGGCUCAACCCCGCGAAAUGCUCACGAUACUGGCAGACUGGAGACCGGUAGAGGCUAGCGGAAUUCCUGGUGUAGCGGUGGAAUGCGUAGAUAUCAGGAAGAACACCUGUGGCGAAGGCGGCUAGCUGGGCCGGGUCUGACGCUGAACCGCGAAAGCGUGGGGAGCAAACAGGAUUAGAUACCCUGGUAGUCCACGCCGUAAACGAUGGGCACUAGGUACCGGGUCUAUAGACGGAUUCGGUGCCGCAGCUAACGCAUUAAGUGCCCCGCCUGGGGAGUACGGUCGCAAGGCUG